GUCCUUCUCGUUGUUUUCGAUUGUUUAAGUUUAUUGUGGUAUCCUGAGGUUCCUGCAGUACUUUGUGCCUUUCAGCAGGUGACAAUUUGAAGCAGUGUGUUGCCAGGCUCAUACCUCAUCGCUGGACUUCUUACACCUGCCUUUAGUGGAAGGUAGCCUAGAGGUGCUUCCUCAAACCACAUAGUCCACUGGGAUUUCAGAUACCAGCAAUUUGU
This is a long non-coding RNA of Ficedula albicollis (Collared flycatcher), 215 nucleotides long. RefSeq lists it as uncharacterized. Lineage: Eukaryota; Metazoa; Chordata; Aves; Passeriformes; Muscicapidae. The record is from RefSeq and is a predicted model, not a curated record. The transcript has 3 exons.